GCUCCCCGCUCUGCGGGCUGAGCGGUGUGCCGGCAGCCCCAGGAGCGACUGGGGACAGGGACACGGGCAUGGACACGGACAUGGGCACGGGCACGGGCACGGACACGGGCACAGACAGGGACACGGGCACGGACACGGGCACUGACACGGACAUGGACACGGGCACGGGCACGGGCACGGGCAUGGACACAGACACGGACGCGGACACAGACACGGGCACGGACAUGGACACGGACAUGGACACGGACACGGACAUGGGCACGGGCAUGGACACGGGCACUGACACGGACACGGGCACGGGCAUGGACACGGGCACAGACACAGACACAGAGACGGACACGGACAUGGGCACGGACACGGACGUGGACACAGACACGGGCACAGACACGGACACGGACAUGGACACGGACACGGACAGGGACAUGGGCACGGGCACGGGCACAGACAUGGGCACAGACACGGGCACGGGCACGGACAGGGACACGGACAUGGACACGGACACAGGCACGGGCAUGGGCACGGACACGGGCACGGACACGGACACGGACACGGGCAUGGACACGGGCACGGAUAAGGGCAUGGNNNNNNNNNNGGACACGGACACGGGCAUGGACACGGGCACGGAUAAGGGCAUGGGCAUGGGCACAGGCAUGGACAGGGACAGGGACAUGGACACAGGCAUGGACAUGGACACGGGCACGGGCACGGGCAUGGACAUGGGCAUGGGCACGGACACGGGCAUGGACACGGACACAGACACAGACACGGACACAGGCAUGGGCACGGACACAGACAUGGACACGGACAUAGACAUGGGCACUGCUGCCCUGCACUGCUGCCCUGCUGCUGCUCCCCACAGCGAUCCCUGCACAUCCCUCAGGGCACAGCUCCAGCUUGCCAGAGCGGGUGUAGAACCUGGGGCUGGUUUUCACAAAAUCUGUAUAAUAUAUAUAAAAAAUAUAACACAAUAUAUAUUACAUAUGUAAGACCUAUUUUGUAGAGUUAUUUAUUGCUCUCCUGCUGCAGGAAUUUGUUCC
RNAcentral lists this long non-coding RNA (1037 nucleotides) under Chloebia gouldiae (Gouldian finch). Its description in RNAcentral is "Erythrura gouldiae (Gouldian finch) lncRNA (ENSEGOG00005018995.1)". Lineage: Eukaryota; Metazoa; Chordata; Aves; Passeriformes; Passeridae. The record is from RNAcentral.